This 453-nucleotide ribosomal RNA is filed under the name Aquificota bacterium. RNAcentral's name for it is "bacterial LSU rRNA". It matches the Rfam family "Bacterial large subunit ribosomal RNA", at positions 2478 to 2925 of the family's 2925-position model. The record is from RNAcentral. Lineage: Bacteria; Pseudomonadati; Aquificota.
CAGGCUGAUCUCCCCCAAGAGUCCACAUCGACGGGGAGGUUUGGCACCUCGAUGUCGGCUCAUCGCAUCCUGGGGCUGGAGAAGGUCCCAAGGGUUGGGCUGUUCGCCCAUUAAAGCGGUACGUGAGCUGGGUUUAGAACGUCGUGAGACAGUUCGGUCCCUAUCCGCCGCGGGCGCAGGAGACUUGAGGGGGGCCGCUCCUAGUACGAGAGGACCGGAGUGGACGGACCUCUGGUGUACCGGUUGUUCCGCCAGGAGCAGCGCCGGGUAGCCAUGUCUGGUGUGGAUAACCGCUGAAGGCAUCUAAGCGGGAAGCCCACCCCGAGAUGAGGUCUCCCAGGACCGCGAGGUCCCUGAAGGCCCCUGGUAGACUACCAGGUAGAUAGGCCCUAGGUGGAAGCUCAGCAAUGGGUGGAGCCGAGGGGUACUAAUGGGCCGUGAGGCUUGACCCCU